UUCGGCGAACGAAACUCUGGCGAACCAACACCAGAUCUGCCACCACCAACGUCCAAAGCACCGGCACCACCCAAAUCCGCACCACCUCAAACCAACCGCGCCACUCCCUUCAUCCCCUUUCCCCAUUUCGCAACUUCUUUGCCGGAGGUGAUAACCAUCAAAAGCCUCCCACACACCUUUGCUGCUACUACUCGACGGAAAGGGUCAUAUCUGACCAAGAUUUUCGUGUAUCAGGCGUCGCUUCGGCAUCCCCACCAUGGAAGCGACACUCUCGAUCAUUUUAUUCUUAUUUGGUGUUUUGGUUUUAAUAGAUGUAAUGGAAAAUAUUCUUUCUGCAUCUCUGUUGACAGUGGUUAUUAUUUUAUUGAUGUUUUAUUCAUAUUUGUGAUGUUUAUUCUUAUUGUCAAACUUUGAUUGAGAUUUGGAUGGAAAAACACC
This 438-nucleotide long non-coding RNA is filed under the name Capsicum annuum. Its description in RNAcentral is "long non-coding RNA (CANN_LNC005527)". Lineage: Eukaryota; Viridiplantae; Streptophyta; Magnoliopsida; Solanales; Solanaceae. The record is from RNAcentral.